UGCCUACGGGGCGCAGCAGUGAGGAAUAUUGGUCAAUGGGCGAGAGCCUGAACCAGCCAAGUCGCGUGAGGGAAGACGGUCCUAUGGAUUGUAAACCUCUUUUGCCGGGGAGCAAAAAGCGGUACGUGUACCGCAUCGAGAGUACCCGGAGAAAAAGCAUCGGCUAACUCCGUGCCAGCAGCCGCGGUAAUACGGAGGAUGCGAGCGUUAUCCGGAUUUAUUGGGUUUAAAGGGUGCGUAGGCGGAGUGUCAAGUCAGCGGUAAAAUUUCGGGGCUCAACCCCGUCGUGCCGUUGAAACUGACAC
This 305-nucleotide ribosomal RNA is filed under the name uncultured bacterium. RNAcentral describes it as "bacterial SSU rRNA". It matches the Rfam family "Bacterial small subunit ribosomal RNA", at positions 335 to 639 of the family's 1533-position model. The record is from RNAcentral.